Molecule: ribosomal RNA, 626 nt
Filed under: Bacillus sp. HPC715
Lineage: Bacteria; Bacillati; Bacillota; Bacilli; Caryophanales; Bacillaceae
Description: bacterial SSU rRNA
Rfam family: Bacterial small subunit ribosomal RNA
Source: RNAcentral
CUUGCCUAAUACAUGCCAGGCGAGCCGAUAAGAGAAGGAGCUUGCUCCUUUGACGUUAGCGGCGGACGGGUGAGUAACACGUGGGCAACCUACCCUAUAGUUUGGGAUAACUCCGGGAAACCGGGGCUAAUACCGAAUAAUUUAUUUCAUCUCAUGGUGAAAUACUGAAAGACGGUUUCGGCUGUCGCUAUAGGAUGGGCCCGCGGCGCAUUAGCUAGUUGGUGAGGUAACGGCUCACCAAGGCGACGAUGCGUAGCCGACCUGAGAGGGUGAUCGGCCACACUGGGACUGAGACACGGCCCAGACUCCUACGGGAGGCAGCAGUAGGGAAUCUUCCACAAUGGGCGAAAGCCUGAUGGAGCAACGCCGCGUGAGUGAAGAAGGAUUUCGGUUCGUAAAACUCUGUUGUAAGGGAAGAACAAGUACAGUAGUAACUGGCUGUACCUUGACGGUACCUUAUUAGAAAGCCACGGCUAACUACGUGCCAGCAGCCGCGGUAAUACGUAAGUGGCAAGCGUUGUCCGGAAUUAUUGGGCGUAAAGCGCGCGCAGGUGGUUUCUUAAGUCUGAUGUGAAAGCCCACGCUCACCGUGGAGGGUCAUUGGAACUGGGAGACUUGAGUGCAAA